RNAcentral lists this long non-coding RNA (314 nucleotides) under Phascolarctos cinereus (koala). RNAcentral's name for it is "lncRNA (ENSPCIG00000033451.1)". Lineage: Eukaryota; Metazoa; Chordata; Mammalia; Diprotodontia; Phascolarctidae. The record is from RNAcentral.
AUUUUCAACCUGGAAUGAUUGCUUGGAAAAGGAUAAAGUUUGUGAAUAUACUUGACAAUGGAUAUACAUUCAAGAGGACUGCAUGUUUCUCUUCCACCAUGUUAAAGCCAAGGGUAGUUAAGGGACUCUCUGAAUGGCACGGGAGAAGUUUGUUACAUACUACAUCACACUAUUAUGUCUUUUCAAGUAACCUCAGUAUGCUUGACUUAUAUGGUGACAUUUAUUGCUGAAAUUCAACAAAAUGUUAGAAGAAUGGUACUUAAGGAAAUUGCAAACAUGGACUGGAAAGUUAUGUUUCAGAAAACUCACCUUAC